Molecule: ribosomal RNA, 252 nt
Filed under: uncultured Gardnerella sp.
Lineage: Bacteria; Bacillati; Actinomycetota; Actinomycetes; Bifidobacteriales; Bifidobacteriaceae
Description: partial 16S ribosomal RNA
Rfam family: Bacterial small subunit ribosomal RNA
Source: RNAcentral
CGGGUGAGUAAUGCGUGACCAACCUGCCCCAUGCUCCAGAAUAGCUCUUGGAAACGGGUGGUAAUGCUGGAUGCUCCAACUUGACGCAUGUCUUGUUGGGAAAGUGUUUAGUGGCAUGGGAUGGGGUCGCGUCCUAUCAGCUUGUAGGCGGGGUAAUGGCCCACCUAGGCUUCGACGGGUAGCCGGCCUGAGAGGGCGGACGGCCACAUUGGGACUGAGAUACGGCCCAGACUCCUACGGGAGGCAGCAGUA